UACGUAGGGUGCAAGCGUUGUCCGGAAUUAUUGGGCGUAAAGAGCUCGUAGGCGGUUUGUUGCGUCGGCUGUGAAAUCCCGAGGCUCAACCUCGGGUCUGCAGUCGAUACGAGCAAACUAGAGUGUUGCAGGGGAGACUGGAAUUCCUGGUGUAGCGGUGAAAUGCGCAGAUAUCAGGAGGAACACCGGUGGCGAAGGCGGCUAUCUGGCCCGUAAUUGACGCUGAGGCGCGAAAGCGUGGGGAGCAAACAGG
Molecule: ribosomal RNA, 253 nt
Filed under: uncultured bacterium
Lineage: Bacteria
Description: partial 16S ribosomal RNA
Rfam family: Bacterial small subunit ribosomal RNA
Source: RNAcentral